This 495-nucleotide ribosomal RNA is filed under the name Salmonella enterica. RNAcentral describes it as "bacterial SSU rRNA". It matches the Rfam family "Bacterial small subunit ribosomal RNA", at positions 608 to 1102 of the family's 1533-position model. The record is from RNAcentral. Lineage: Bacteria; Pseudomonadati; Pseudomonadota; Gammaproteobacteria; Enterobacterales; Enterobacteriaceae.
CUCAACCUGGGAACUGCAUUCGAAACUGGCAGGCUUGAGUCUUGUAGAGGGGGGUAGAAUUCCAGGUGUAGCGGUGAAAUGCGUAGAGAUCUGGAGGAAUACCGGUGGCGAAGGCGGCCCCCUGGACAAAGACUGACGCUCAGGUGCGAAAGCGUGGGGAGCAAACAGGAUUAGAUACCCUGGUAGUCCACGCCGUAAACGAUGUCUACUUGGAGGUUGUGCCCUUGAGGCGUGGCUUCCGGAGCUAACGCGUUAAGUAGACCGCCUGGGGAGUACGGCCGCAAGGUUAAAACUCAAAUGAAUUGACGGGGGCCCGCACAAGCGGUGGAGCAUGUGGUUUAAUUCGAUGCAACGCGAAGAACCUUACCUGGUCUUGACAUCCACAGAACUUUCCAGAGAUGGAUUGGUGCCUUCGGGAACUGUGAGACAGGUGCUGCAUGGCUGUCGUCAGCUCGUGUUGUGAAAUGUUGGGUUAAGUCCCGCAACGAGCGCAAC